CCAAAAAUGACUCUUUCCGCCGACACUUACUAAAAAUUGACUAAAAACCAGUCUCUCCCCCGCUACACUUAAAGCUCCUUUUUUUUCUAAACCAACGAACCUAAAUCGUUUUAUUUUCUUCUUUUCUCUUCCUCAUCUCCUUCGCACUUCUUCUUCCUCUCUAGGGUUAAGAGUAGGGAGAAGCCAAGGUUUUGGCUAAGCAGCCAUGAGUGAGACGAGAUAUACAUUGCAACGACGUAAUGAACAGGGAGAGAAUGAAUUGAAGCUGUGAUGAAGUCUUCUUGUCGACAACAAACACUCGUUUGAAGAUCUGGUGAAAGGAGUGUGAAGAAGAGUAAAGGCACGGCGGAGGCGUCUUUUUCUCUUAGUCUCGCCGAAUUUCUGCAGUUAUGCGAUUUUGGCAAGAUUGAGUACAAGCCAGAAAUUUCGAAUUGGAUCAACCUAAUUGGAUUCGUCGAGCAACCUUUUCAGUUCGGUCCUUGCUCCGAUGGAAAUUUCUGGGCUGGAACUGUGAUUUCUCAGCGUUUGGGUUCAAAGUCAUAUAGUUUCUGGCUACUUCGAGACUUGGUUAAGCCACUGUGUUUGCUCUUUCAAGAAAAGGUUUAUGUGUUGUCUCCUCUGUUGACCCUUAUGAUGGUGGUGGUGGUGGUGUCAAUCUGCAACUUGAAAAUAAAGAUACAUGCCAUGCUCGAAAAUGAGUUCUAUGCUGGUGCUUACAAGACUCCGAUUGAUUUUGAAGGAAGGAUAUCAGAUUUGUUGUGAAGAACAGAGUUGCAGAUCCCAUCUAUCAAUUAUUAGACUUUAUGUCUUCAUAAGCUGGUCUCAUCUAUUGUUUAUCUCGUUGGUAUCCUUUGCCUCAAGGUUAUUGAUUUUAUGUUAGCAGCUAUGGCUAAUUUACUACACUUGACAGGGUAAAACAGUUGAAUUUGGAAGGACACAAGAGUUACGAACUUAAUAUGAUUAGUGGAGCAUCUCAAACAGAUAGUGGUGUGCAGCAAGCAAGCAGACCAUGGAGAUGCACAAUCAACAAUGGAGUUUGUUGGCAUGAAGAGAGAUGGACAGAGCAACAAGAGCAGAGAUUGUGAGAGCAUAAGUGAUGGAGCUCAUUGAGAGAUACUCAGCGGGGAAUAUGUCAGUGUAAGAUUUAUUAACUUGGCUAAGGCAAUUGAAGACAACAAGAACAGUCUCUAGGUUCAUGUUUUUGUUGGUUGUAGCACUUCUAAUAUUAGGUUAAGACUUUUAAUGUAUUGUAGUUAAGGUUAAGAUGAGAUGUACUGUAUUUUGAGGUUUUUAUAAAGUUUUUAUUAUAUAUUGA
RNA transcript from Camelina sativa (false flax), 1315 nucleotides. RefSeq lists it as uncharacterized. The record is from RefSeq and is a predicted model, not a curated record. Lineage: Eukaryota; Viridiplantae; Streptophyta; Magnoliopsida; Brassicales; Brassicaceae.